Molecule: non-coding RNA, 103 nt
Filed under: uncultured Siminovitchia sp.
Lineage: Bacteria; Bacillati; Bacillota; Bacilli; Caryophanales; Bacillaceae
Description: SAM riboswitch (S box leader)
Rfam family: SAM riboswitch aptamer (S box leader)
About the family: The SAM riboswitch is found upstream of a number of genes which code for proteins involved in methionine or cysteine biosynthesis in Gram-positive bacteria.
Source: RNAcentral
UCUUAUCCAGAGAGGUGGAGGGACUGGCCCUUUGAAGCCUCGGCAGCAGACCACAUUGGUACUGUGCCAAUUCCAGCAAGCUUGAAAAGCUUGAAAGAUAAGA